Molecule: unclassified non-coding RNA, 289 nt
Filed under: Hevea brasiliensis (rubber tree)
Lineage: Eukaryota; Viridiplantae; Streptophyta; Magnoliopsida; Malpighiales; Euphorbiaceae
Source: RNAcentral
UGUGACCGAUAAACCUCACCAGUUAUCUCAGAUGCCACUGCAUUCGAUCAUACCUGAUGAACAUUACAAGGCAUCUCCAAUGCCUUCUCAGUCGACUUUAACGGAGGAACCACUUGGGUUGUGGCAGACUGAUGUUCUUGAUCCUCAAAAAUCAUCCUCGAGUGCUGAAGUAGAGGGAGACACAAAGCCCAGUGAUGUUUCAGUAAACCAACGGAAAACACGCUCAGAAAUAGAACCUCUGGCAUCUUCAACUGUUAACCAAGGAGAUGAAGGUUCAGAUAUCCGGGCC